UUCCAGCUCCAGUAGCGUAUAUUUAAGUUGUUGCAGUUAAAAAGCUCGUAGUUGGACUUUGGGACGGGUCGGUCGGUCCGCCUCGCGGUGUGCACCGGUCGUCCCAUCCCUUCUGUCGGCGAUGCGUGCCUGGCCUUAACUGGCCGGGUCGUGCCUCCGGCGCUGUUACUUUGAAGAAAUUAGAGUGCUCAAAGCAAGCCCACGCUCUGGAUACAUUAGCAUGGGAUAACAUCACAGGAUUUCGGUCCUAUUGUGUUGGCCUUCGGGAUCGGAGUAAUGAUUAAGAGGGACAGUCGGGGGCAUUCGUAUUUCAUAGUCAGAGGUGAAAUUCUUGGAUUUAUGAAAGACGAACCACUGCGAAAGCAUCUGCCAUGGAUGUUUUCAUCA
This 387-nucleotide ribosomal RNA is filed under the name Embryophyta sp. RNAcentral's name for it is "partial small subunit ribosomal RNA". It matches the Rfam family "Eukaryotic small subunit ribosomal RNA", at positions 583 to 975 of the family's 1831-position model. Lineage: Eukaryota; Viridiplantae; Streptophyta. The record is from RNAcentral.